GGGCGCGUAGCUCAGUUGGUAGAGCAGCGGACCCUUAAUCCGUCGGUCCAGGGUUCGAGCCCCUGCGCACCCACCA
RNAcentral lists this transfer RNA (76 nucleotides) under Mesosutterella sp. RNAcentral describes it as "tRNA-Lys". It matches the Rfam family "tRNA". From Rfam's summary of the family: Transfer RNA (tRNA) molecules are approximately 80 nucleotides in length. RNAcentral also lists the same sequence under 2 other names. Lineage: Bacteria; Pseudomonadati; Pseudomonadota; Betaproteobacteria; Burkholderiales; Sutterellaceae. The record is from RNAcentral.